GAUGAACGCUAGCUACAGGCUUAACACAUGCAAGUCGCGGGGCAGCAUGGGGGUUGCUUGCAAUCCCCGAUGGCGACCGGCGCACGGGUGAGUAACGCGUAUCCAACCUGCCCUUCACCACGGGAUAACCCGGCGAAAGUCGGACUAAUACCGUAUGUUGUCCAUUGACGGCAUCCGAUUUGGACGAAAGGCUUGGCGGUGAGGGAUGGGGAUGCGUCCGAUUAGCCAGACGGCGGGGUAACGGCCCACCGUGGCUACGAUCGGUAGGGGUUCUGAGAGGAAGGUCCCCCACACUGAACUGAGACACGGUCCAGACUCCUACGGGAGGCAGCAGUGAGGAAUAUUGGUCAAUGGGCGUAAGCCUGAACCAGCCAAGUAGCGUGCAGGAUGACGGCCCUAUGGGUUGUAAACUGCUUUUAUGCGGGGAUAAAGUGGCCCACGUGUGGGCUUUUGCAGGUACCGCAUGAAUAAGGACCGGCUAAUUCCGUG
Molecule: ribosomal RNA, 489 nt
Filed under: uncultured bacterium
Lineage: Bacteria
Description: partial 16S ribosomal RNA
Rfam family: Bacterial small subunit ribosomal RNA
Source: RNAcentral